Molecule: unclassified non-coding RNA, 412 nt
Filed under: uncultured fungus
Lineage: Eukaryota; Fungi
Description: partial contains small subunit ribosomal RNA, internal transcribed spacer 1, and 5.8S ribosomal RNA
Rfam family: Eukaryotic small subunit ribosomal RNA (bases 1-73)
Source: RNAcentral
ACAAACUUGGUCAUUUAGAGGAAGUAAAAGUCGUAACAAGGUUUCCGUAGGUGAACCUGCGGAAGGAUCAUUAACAAAUUAUCCAUUAUGGAUGGUUAAAAUCCAUAUCCACCUUCGUGUGCACAUCAUUGACAUGUUUGCUUUGGCAGUCUUAAUUUUUUUUUUUUGCGGGGAAGAGAGGAAAAAAGAGGGGAAGAGGAAAAAAAAACGAAAGUUUUUCUUCUUCUUCUUCUUCUUCUCCUCUUCUUUACCGACGCUGCCAGAGUUUUUCAUCCUUUUCACCUUGACAAACUUUUGCUUUUUCCUUCUGGAAAGCAAGUCCUUUGAAAAAGAAUACAAAAAAUUUAAAAUAAAAUCGAAUACAACUUUCAACAACGGAUCUCUUGGCUCUCGCAUCGAUGAAGAACGCAGC